AGUGAACGCUGGCGGUAGGCCUAACACAUGCAAGUCGAACGGCAGCACAGUAAGAGCUUGCUCUUACGGGUGGCGAGUGGCGGACGGGUGAGGAAUACAUCGGAAUCUACUUUUUCGUGGGGGAUAACGUAGGGAAACUUACGCUAAUACCGCAUACGACCUACGGGUGAAAGCAGGGGAUCUUCGCACCUUGCGCGAUUGAAUGAGCCGAUGUCGGAUUAGCUAGUUGGCGGGGUAAGGGCCCACCAAGGCGACGAUCCGUAGCUGGUCUGAGAGGAUGAUCAGCCACACUGGAACUGAGACACGGUCCAGACUCCUACGGGAGGCAGCAGUGGGGAAUAUUGGACAAUGGGCGCAAGCCUGAUCCAGCCAUACCGCGUGGGUGAAGAAGGCCUUCGGGUUGUAAAGCCCUUUUGUUGGGAAAGAAAAGCAGCAGGUUAAUACCCCGCUGUUCUGACGGUACCCAAAGAAUAAGCACCGGCUAACUUCGUG
Molecule: ribosomal RNA, 492 nt
Filed under: uncultured bacterium
Lineage: Bacteria
Description: partial 16S ribosomal RNA
Rfam family: Bacterial small subunit ribosomal RNA
Source: RNAcentral